UCGCCUACAUGAAGUUGGAAUCGCUAGUAAUCGCGAAUCAGAAUGUCGCGGGGAAUACGUUCCCGGGUCUUGUACACACCGCCCGUCACACCACGAGAGUUUACAACACCCGAAGUCAGUGGCCUAACCGCAAGGAGGGAGCUGCCUAAGGUGGGGUAGAUGAUUGGGGUGAAGUCGUAACAAGGUAUC
RNAcentral lists this ribosomal RNA (189 nucleotides) under uncultured bacterium. RNAcentral's name for it is "partial 16S ribosomal RNA". It matches the Rfam family "Bacterial small subunit ribosomal RNA", at positions 1312 to 1500 of the family's 1533-position model. The record is from RNAcentral.